GACGAACGCUGGCGGCGUGCUUAACACAUGCAAGUCGAACGGAAAGGCCCUGCUCUUGUGGGGUGCUCGAGUGGCGAACGGGUGAGUAAAACGCGAGUAACCUCCCCUUGACUGUGGGAUAACUUCAGGAGACUGGGGCUCAUACCGGAUAGGAGCUCCUGCUGCAUGGUGGGGGUUGGAAAGUUUCGGCGGUUGGGGAUGGUCUCGCGGCUUAUCAGCUUGUUGGUGUGGUAGUGGCUUACCAAGGCUGUGACGGGUAGCCGGCCUGAGAGGGUGACCGGCGACAAUGGGACUGAGAUACGGACCAGUCUCCUACGGGAGGCAGCAGUCGGGAAUAUUGCAGAAUGGGCGGAAGCCUGAUGCAGCAACGCCGCGUGCGGGAUGACGGCCUUCGGGUUGUAAACCGCUUUCGCCGGUGAUGAAGCGGGAGUGACGGUAAUGGGUAAAGAAGCACCGGCUAACUACGUG
This 468-nucleotide ribosomal RNA is filed under the name uncultured bacterium. RNAcentral describes it as "partial 16S ribosomal RNA". It matches the Rfam family "Bacterial small subunit ribosomal RNA", at positions 28 to 507 of the family's 1533-position model. The record is from RNAcentral.